Molecule: unclassified non-coding RNA, 352 nt
Filed under: Klebsiella oxytoca
Lineage: Bacteria; Pseudomonadati; Pseudomonadota; Gammaproteobacteria; Enterobacterales; Enterobacteriaceae
Description: partial 16S-23S ribosomal RNA intergenic spacer
Rfam family: Salmonella enterica Typhi npcRNA 44 (bases 240-345)
Source: RNAcentral
CCUGAAAGAACCUGCCUUUGUAGUGCUCACACAGAUUGUCUGAUAGAUGUAAAGAAGCAAGACGGCUGCGAAGUCGCGACACCUCGUGUCCCCUUCGUCUAGCGGUUAGGACUCCGCCCUUUCACGGCGGCAACAGGGGUUCGAAUCCCCUAGGGGACGCCACUUGCUGGCUGUGAGUGAAAGGCACAACCAACCGAUAUCUCAAAACUCAUCUUCGGGUGACGUUUGAGAUAUUUGCUCUUUAAAAAUCUGGAUCAAGCUGAAAAUUGAAACGACACACAGCUAAUGUGUGUUCGAGUCUCUCAAAUUUUCGCGACACGAUGAUGUUUCACGAAACAUCUUCGGGUUGUGA